GAUCUACACAUAUUGAAUGUCAGCGGAUUAAACAGAACAUGUCAAGGGAACACUGGGUGAGUCUCCCCACUCUGAUGACAAAGUACAGCUGGUAGGUCCAGAUGGCACAUUUUGCUAUUAGUAGCUGGCUCUGAAGCAAGAGGGAGACUAGCUUGAGGGAUUCUCAUAGACCUUACACAGUGGUAUACACAUAUGAAAAAUACUGUAACACAUGUGUGUAAAACACAUAUUGAUUCUAUCUGCAAGCUGGAUUCCAAUUCCACUUGUUUCUGAUAUAUGCCACCCCAGUGUGGGUGAGGAUUCCUCCUGCUCCUUGGUCCUGGCUCUUCUCCACCUCAAAAGGCACAGUCACUUCAUGUGCUUUUUAUAAUCACUAUUAAAAUGCUUGGAAGAACAUUCACAGGUAUCCCUCUGCGUUUGGAGAAUGUGAAAAGGUGACAGGUGUGUAAAGGCUUGAAGGAGGUGACAGAGUUAUUCCCACAGAUAAUCAAGGGAGAACAUUCUAGGGACCAGGGAAAGAUAAUGCAAAGGCAAGAAAGCAAUAGCGUGCCUGGAAAAUUCAAGCAACAUCAAGGAAGCCAACUUACCUGUAGAGAAGUGAUCACUCAGCAAACCACCAGAUGCAAGUUCAGAGAGAAGCUGACUGUCAAGGGAGCCUGGGAGGCAUAGUCCUGUGCAGAAGUCCCCUUUCCUGGGAAGAGAGCAGGCCAGAGAAAGAACACUGAGGAGCUGGAGAAGCAUUGCUGAGGGAGCAAAUGAAGAAUACUUAACCACUGCCAGGCUCCCUUCCGAGGGCCUGAUGUGGGUUAACAUUUCAAUCAAAAAGUUGGAGCCCAGAAGAAAGAGAGCUGAGAUUAAGAACUGGAGAUGGGGGUAGAGAGGAGCCACUGGCAGACGGACACAAGCUCAUUUCACAAGGGGCAUUUCUCAAGGUCCUGCUACCCAGCAUUGUCUUUCCUUGGCUCCAGUCAUCACAGUCUUACUGAUGCUUCUCUCAACCUCUUCCCUUUAAAUCAUAUUAUAAAGCAUUAUUUUGGAGAACAUGCUCUGAGAAAGGGAUCGUCCUUCUUUAAACAACUUACCUGCACAUCAACUUGUCUAAUGCAGGAUUCUAAAGUGCUGAAUUAGAGUUUCAUUCCAACAAGACCGAGUUUUCAUGCCAUGUUGAGCAAAUCCUCUUAACGAUUGUCAGCAUGUUAUUUUGUUAGAAGUCUCUAGAGAAAUACCAGUCUUCUACCCAUAGGCGUUCUUUCCUAAAGUUGGAAUCCAAGCACUGUGACAAGUGUAUGGGAGAGAGACAUUGUUCUCAAAUCCUGUUAUGUCCAAAACUGCUUAGACUGCUUUCACACCCAGGUCCUGUACUAAAGAGUUAAUGAGGACAGUAUCUCAGUAUGGGUCAUAUUUAUUUAACAUGCAUUAUACUCCCAGCUGACAUUUCCUAAUGAGUUUAUUGCCACUGUAGUGUUAAAGCUUCCUCAUUCAAUAAGCAUAAACUCAAGUGUCAAAAAUGAAACAUAGGUAUCCCCAGUGCUUAAAUGGCCUGUAUCGAUUCUCCGGCAGGCUAACUGCUGGAGUCUUGUGCCAGGCCUCUCAUUUGUGCUCUGAAAUGUACAGCCUCACUUGAUUUAGAUGUCAGAAUUAAGACAGCACAUCAGUUUGAAAAAUCAACUGAAAUAUUCUAGAAAUUGGUUUGGAUAUCUUCACCUCGUGUUAUAAAAAUCAUUGUUCUUACCUAAACAAGGGGCUAAGUAAUAUUAUUCCCAUUGACUUUUCUUUUUCAGUGUGUUUUAUCAAAGGAAAUGUCCUCAGAGUCGAAGCUUGUUGUGUCCUGUGCUUUAUCUGUAGAGCGAAUUCCAUUUAGAGAAAUUUAAUGCCAAAGCUGAAAGAUCUGCAUUCCUGGGGGAUGACUAUGUAGGCCAUUGUCUUUGGAGAUGAAUAAACACAUGUGCGUGGUGUUUGCACUAAGCUCCUGAAGUGCUCAUGAUAUGCUCACUAUGCCUCAUCAUCAAAAAGACUUAAAGACACUUUGAAGAUGCUGCAGAAUGCCACUGUAUGGUAGUUUCUGCUUCAAAGAAAUUAUCUCCUGUUUCUAAGGCUGUCAAAGAGGGUGGCUGAAGAAGCAGGGGUAUGGAGAUUAGCCAAAUUUCUACUGGCAAAAUAAGAAAAGCUAAUUCUCUCUUUCCAACCUAGAGUGAAAAAUUGCAAUACUUAGAAUUAAAUCUACACUUUAGACAACUUUAAGAGCCAGAAGAGACUUUAAGCUCAACAAUUGUUUAUAUUAAACGACACAAAAAUUCAAAACAAAUCAUGACUUGUCCAAGAUAGGAAGUUUAUUAGGAGGUACAGGAAAGAUUAAAACUCAAGCCUUAUGCCCCAAACCAAACUCUGAUAGGCCAAUGUUUCUCUAAAAUAGCAUAGGUUUACUUUAAUUUUGCUAUUUCUUAGAGAAAAGGUCCUAAAUUCCUUUCUGCUAAAGUUUCUUACUGUCAUAGAGAUAAUCUUGAUAUUCUGAAAAAGUUAUUAGCAAAUACAGUAGAACCUCUAUAGCUGACCCCCUGCCUACACUGACCACCUCCUAAAGUUGACCUAAUUUUCAUAGACCGGACAUGCACCACAUGUACGUAUCAGUACCAUAGGUCUAGGUCCUUAUGUGACCUCCAUAUGUUGACCAGUUUGUGACAGUCCCUUGGGUGGUCAACUUACAGAGAUUCUACUGUGAUUCUUUACAUUUUGUAUAGUUUUUCAGUCUAUAGCAUAUGCUAUUUCGAUGACUGGUCUUUGAGAUAUUAGACUAUAUACAAUGCCAAAUAAAUGCAUAGUGUUGGUUUUAAUCUGCCUUGGCAUGGUGGCCAGCAGGCAGGUAAUGGGAAAACCAGAGGCUGCUACAACUAACUGCUCUGGUGAUUGAAAGCAGAGGCUUUUCAGAACAAUCAGUGUUAGGAAGAGCGUUAGGAAGAGGCUUUUCAGAACAGUAAGCAUUUGGAAGAGGGUUUCUUCAGCUAAAGUAACAGCUAAUCAAACUAACAUAAUAGGUGCAAAUGAGUUCUCCUUAGUGAAAGGAGUGAUUUUCAAGAUUUAUGGAUUAGCUAAAAUAUUUUAGAAAUACUCUACUUUUGCAUGAAAGGAUACAAGUGCCUUACAGAGCCUCCAAAUUUACUCUUGAUGUGCUGCGGACUGGCCACAAGUUACCCAGUAACAGGGAUAGUUUCUGUGUGAGAUUGCCAGUCAACAAUGUGUUAAGAUGUCACAGGUGCUGAGUGAUUCUAUAUUAUAAUCAGCAGAGAGAGGAGGUGGAGAGAAAUAAUAAAAUAGGCUGAAUUUUGGAAAGCUGGGAAUUGAGACUGGGAGAAAUGAAUCAGAAAAUAGCAGUUAACAGUUUGUUGCAGAAACUACCCACAAUUACCAGGUACUUUGUGACCUGUCAGCGAUGUGUUAACAAUGGCAUCCAAGGCCUAAGUGUUUCUUUGUUCAGCUCAUAGUCCAGAGGGUUGUGCCCACACGAUCGCAACUAUAAACCUGAGUACAUCUUGCUUCAAAAUUUUUUAUCAGCCUCAUGCGAAGCUUUCAUUCAAAGUGUGGUUAGGGCAUCUAAAAGAAGAGACUGUAUAAAGAAUGACUGAAGAUCCGGAUUUGCUCAAGACUAGGUAUUUCCUACACUUGGGAAUUCAGUGAUAAAACUGGAACAGUUCUGGGUAAACGGGGAUAUUUGGUCACCCUAUUUACUACACUGUUUACUACAAUUGUUAUGUCCUUACUUACUAAUAAAUGAUGGUCAGUAUAUCAAAAUUUUAACUGACACCUGCUUUCAGUGACACUUGCUUUAUCUGACACAUUACUUGGUAACAAGUUUGUUAUGUAAAACCUAUGGCACCCAUCUAUUUUGGUGCAGCCAGUAUCUAUUUUUUUAAAACUCGGGUUUGUGGCCGAAUUUAUUUGGGUAUAUAUACAACAAAAGGAGAGGGGUAGGAAACACAUUUUUCCUGUCCCAGUGGUCUGAAUAUUUUUGUACCUAUCAGUUAAAAGUACAACACACUCAAACACAAACAAAAAAUAAAUGCAAAAAAUCUACAUCAUAAAUAAAGAAUACAAGCAGUUGACAGAGAAACACUAACCAUGAAUUAUCUCACACUCUUGUGGUUACGGCCAUCAAAACCUUAACUCUAAUUUAUUUUAUAAAAGUUUACAAAGGGAGUGCAGCACCUGUGGCUCAAAGGAGUAGGGCGCCGGUCUCAUAUGCCGGAGAUGGUAGGUUCAAACCCAGCCCCGGCCAAAAACUGCAACAACAACAACAACAAAAAGUUUGCAAAGGGAGGAUUCCUUCCAAGCAACAUUUUGUGAGUUAUUCAAAUGACACAGAGAAUAGCUAUAAUCCCAGUCGGACUUCUUCAUCAGAAGGGAUUGUCUU
Molecule: long non-coding RNA, 4405 nt
Organism: Nycticebus coucang (slow loris)
Lineage: Eukaryota; Metazoa; Chordata; Mammalia; Primates; Lorisidae
Exons: 3
Source: RefSeq, a predicted model, not a curated record